Quercus lobata is the source of this 6654-nucleotide long non-coding RNA. RefSeq lists it as uncharacterized. The record is from RefSeq and is a predicted model, not a curated record. NCBI's taxonomy places the organism in Eukaryota, Viridiplantae, Streptophyta, Magnoliopsida, Fagales, Fagaceae. The transcript has 6 exons.
GAGAGAGAGAGAGAGAGAGAAUGGCAAAAGGGUGAGGAGUGCAGAGAGUGCUAAUCUGCAACCCAGCAAAAAUUGAAUUCGCUUCUACUUCUAGCAUUGCUAUAUACUUUUCUCGCAACUCUCCAGGUUUAUCGCACAUGGUCUACACAAGAGUAGUGCAGUGUUGGUUUGAACAUUCACUAGGGAACUAUUGGUUGGUAUCAUUAAAACUUAUCAAUAGCUGCUGCGGGUGCUGGGGCUGCCACUUCCAUCACAACAAAUCCAUUGUGGGCUGUUAAGACCAGACUCCAUGAUUUCCGGAAGGAUUGGUUAAUGAUUUUGAUGAUAGUCACAUCUUCUCGAUCUGACAUAAACAUAAGACGUUUGGAGAAAGCUACAGGCUCCACCGGGAAGCAAGGAUUAUUAUCAGAGGGAAAUGCUGCUUACAAUUGGUCCAGAUGUGUUGAUGAACUGGAAUCUCAAUUAUCAAAGCAUGGCAGUCUUAAAAAGCUCUAUUUCUACCACCAGCACCUUACAGCGACACAAGGAAUGAGGCGGGAUGUAUUUCCUUACAAAGGUAUGGUUUCUGCAUUGACAAGGAUAGCACAUGAGGAAGGCAUUCGAGAAUUGCAUAGGUAAGUUCUUCCUUACUUUGAUGUGUAUUAUGUGAGUUUGCAAAUAACCAUUAUCUGGGAUCCAAUCCUAAAUACAUUUAUGAGUAAUUGUGGUAAUUAAUGCGGCUAGCUACUCUUUUACUUCAACCGGUUAUAAACUAGUUAUAUUAUAAAUGGCAAAAUUUAAGUACAAUACCUUAUGUGCUGUUCUUUAGGUUCCCCUCUUAAGAUUUAACCAUAUGGCUACUUAACUAAAAAAUAUACUUCCAUCCUAUGAAAAAAAAUCCACAUGACAGAAUUUUAAAAGGGGAACCUAAGGAACAACACUUAAGUAUUGUACUUAAGUCUUGCUCUAUUAUAAAAUAAAAUAAAAUAAAUUGUUAGAAUGUGUGAGGAACAUGCACCAUUUUGAUUGAUUCUCACUAUUGCAUAAAAAGGUUAUAUAAUUUGUCCUAGAAAUUAUGUGAAAACUAAGUGGUAGUGUUAUUUUUUAUUUUUUGGUAAUGAGAGUUACUGAUUAAGAGGGUCUGCCUCUAGUACAUGAGGUAUACAUGAUGUAGUGUUAAAGAAUUACAAUGAAAGAAAAUAGUUACAAUAAGAAAGAGAGAAAAUCAAUAAAAUCUAAAAUGACUAAAAUUAACUUGUUUUAUUCUCUUGUGAAUUUCAAGUAACAAAAGGAUAAACAAACAUGUAAUCAUGAGUGUUCUUUGGAAAUUCUAAAGCUACAAGUAGAUAGAUAACCGUUUUAAUAAAAACAACUAUAAAUUCUUGAAUUUGAAUUGUAGUGAGGACAGAGUUAUAUAGAUGAUCAGUUUUGAUUGCAAGUGUGUUUUCUUGAAUUUGUUUUUUACAAUUGGUGGUAUUGAGCUCUUUUAUUGCAUUCAAUUUGUUUAUAGUGGGCCAAUAUAGAUAUGACAUCUAGCUGUUAGAUAUGCAUAGCGGACAAUUUUGUCUUCCCUUUCUGGUUGACAGCCUUGUUCAAUGGGAUUUGCUACUGGAAGAAAAGCAUUCUUAGUGUGUGGGUUUUCCUAUGAAACUAGUCUCUUUUCUAUUUCUUAUGAUGAUUGAUUGUCCUCCAAGCAGGGCGGCGCAGCCUAUGGCCUUAGGGCUCAUAGAAGUGAAUGUGUCUUAAUAGAUAUUACACAACUUAUAUCUAUUCUAUCUUCCUCUGUUUGUCAUUUGUCAUCUCUAUUUUCAUGGUAGUUGGCAUAGUCAUCUGUUGCUCCCUAUAACAUUUUUUUUUAUUGACCAUACUUCACUAGUGUCCUCUAGUAUUGACCAUACCUCACAAGUGAACUAAGUGGAACAUCUAAAAAUUCAGAAAAAGUUGUUCUCCUCGUUGUUCUCCACUAAUGACCAUACAAGGCCAUGGCAUGCCCACAUGCAUGCUCCCAAGUUUAUGAAAACUGCCAUAGGGAAGCAGCCAUGGCAAAGGUACACAGCUAAGAUCAAGAUAGCACCCAUGGGCAAGGCAGCCACGGCUAAGGCAUGUAGCCAAAGCCAAGGAAUCUCCCAUAGGCAAGCAGCAAAGGCCAAGGUAGCCCCUGUGGGCAAACUACCAAGACCAAGGCAUGUUGGCUUACCCAAAUAAACUUCUUUCAAAAAAAAAAAAAAAAUUCUUUUGGAAAAGCCCUUCCCUCAUUUGGUGAAAUAACCCACCAUUGAGCAAGCAGCCAAGGCUAUAAGGCAGCCCCCGUGGGCACAUUGCCAAGGACAUAGCAUGCCCACAUGCAUGCUCCCAGGACCAUGAAAGCCUCCAUAGGAAAGCAGCCAUGGCAAAGGCACAUAGCCAAGAUCAAGGCAGCACCUAUAGGCAAGGCCAUCAUGGCUACAAAGAUAACCUCCAUUGAGAAUAAAUAAAUAAAAUAAAAUAAAAUAAAAUAAAAACUUUCUUGUAAAAAACCCUUUUUGGAAAAAACCCUCAUUAGGAAAAAUAACCACCCUCCAAUGGGCAAGUAGUAAAGGCCAUGGCAUGCCCAUGUGAAUGCCCCUAAGGCCAUGACAGCCCCCAUGGGAAAGCAGCCAUGGCAAAAGUAGGUAGCCAAGGCAGCCCUCCAAUGGGCAAGCGGCCAAGGCAGCCCUUGUGACACGUUGCCAAGGACAUGGCAUCCAUGACACAACCCCUAUGGGAAAGCUGCUAUGGCAAAAGGCACUAGCCAAGAUAAAGGCAUCACCAACUAGCAAGACUAUGGUAUGCAAUCAAAGCUAAAGCAAGCUCCAUAGGCAAGCAACAAACAUUAAGGAAACCCCAUGGGCAUGCUGCCAUGGCCAAGGGCAAGGUAGCUAUGGCCAAGGCACACAGCCAAGGCAGCCCCCAUAGGCAUGCAACAAACAUUAAGGAAACCCCCAUGGGCAUGCUACCAUGGCCAAGGGCAAGGUAGCUAUGGCCAAGGCACACAGCCAAGGCAGCCCCCAUAGGCAUGCUGCCUUUUGAUAAAACCCUCAUUUGGGAAAAUAACUCUCGAAUGCUCUCAAGGCCAUGGCAUGAUAGGGAAGCAGCCCAGGAAGCAGCCAAGGCAUGGGCAAGGCUACCAUAGUUAAGGCAUGCAACAAAGGCCAAGGCAGCCCCCGUAAGCGCAUGCCAAGGCCAAGGUAUGCUACCUACCCAAAUAACCUCAUUUGAGGAGGAAAAAAAAAAAAAAAAAACCUUACUUGGAAAAAUUACCCUCCAAUGGGCAAGUAGGCAAGGCUAGCCACCAUGGGCACACUGCCAAGGCCAUGGCAUGCCCACCACAUGCAUGUUCCUAAGGCCAUGACAACAGCAAUGGAAUGUUCCUAAGGCCAUGACAACAACAAUGGAGAAGCAGCCAUAAUAGAGGCAAGGCAGCCCAUAGCUUAGGCAGGCAGUCAAAGCCAAGGAAGCGCCCAUAGGCAAGCAACAAAGGCAAAUGUAGCCCCAAUGGGCAUGCUGCCAAGGCCAACAUUGGCCUGCCCAAAUAUCCUCCUUUAAGAACAAAACCUUCUUUUAGGAAAAACCCUCCAACGGGCAAGUAGCCAAGGCAAAGGCACUAGCCAAUAGCCAAGAUGAAGGCAUCAUCCACUAGCAAGGUAGCCAUGGCUAAGGCAUGUAGUCAAAUCCAAGGCCCAAAGGCAAGCAGCAAACACCAAGGAAGCUCCCAUGAGCAUGCUACCAAGGCCAAGGUAUGCUACCCUGCCUAAAUAACCUCCAUUGAGAGAGAGAGAGAGAGAGAGAGAGAGAGAGAGAGAGAGAGAGAGAGAGAGAGAGAGAGAGAGAGAGAGAGAGAGAGAGAGAGAGAGAUUUUUGGAUAAAACCUUUGUUUGGGAAAGAAACUCUCGAAUGCUCCCAAGGCCAUGACAGUCCUCAUGGGGCAGCAACCAAGAACAAGGCAGCCCCCGUGGGCAUGUAGCCAAGGCCAAAUAACCUCAUUUUAGGGGGGGGGGGGGGGAACUUCUUUUAAAAAAAAAAUUUAAAGAAAACCCUUUAAUUGGAGGAAAAAUAAUCCUACAGCGAACAAGUAAGCAAGGCCAAAGAAGCCCCCAUGAGCACGCUGCCAAGGCCAUGGCAUGCCCAAAUGCAUGUUCCCAAGGCCAUGAUAGCUGUAUUGGGGAAGCAGCCAUGGCAAAGGCAUAUAGCCAAACCUAAGGAAGCCCACAUAGGCAAGCAGUAAAGGCAAGGUAGCCCCCAUGGACAUGCUACCAAGGCCAAAGGAUUUGGCCUGCCCAAAUACCCUCCUUUAAGAACAAAAACCUUCUUUUGAAAAAAAAAAUAAAAAAUUUCAAUUGGGAAAAUAACCUUCCAAUGGACAGCAGCCAAGGCCAUGGUAGCCCCUAUGGGUGGGGUACGUUUCCAAGGACAUGGCAUGCCUACACGCAUGCUCCCAAGGCAUCCCCCAUGCCCACAAGGGCAUGCUGCCAGGCCAAGGCAUGGUGGCCUAUCCAAAUAACCUACCUUAGGAUCGCCACUACAAUUGACUGACGGAGCUGAUGUUGGCAAACAAAACGCAAAGAGAGUUCUGACUCCGAUGCGGUGCAGUAAUUGAAGCAACAAAUCCGAAACCGAACCGACCCCUGUUUCAGAUGUUUGGAACUUUGGAUACGUCUCCACCAUGUUGCAUGCCACCGUUCUUCUUCUUCUCUUCUUCGUUUUGCACUUGUUCUUCUUCGUUCUGCAGUGCACUGGUCUAGUCUUUUAUUACUCUUGUAAUUUCUAGUUUCUAUUGUCUUCUAGAGAUAUUAGUACUCUUUUAAAGUUUUUGUCUUUUAACGUUUCAACUUUUAUGACCCCCACACGUGUCUAGCUUUGGAAAUGACAAAAGAAAAGCUUUAAAAAAAAAAAAAAUCCAAGUAUCAGACUUAGAUAUUACUCUAUUUUCCCACCAUUGUGUAGGUCCAUUGUGUAGGUAUAUUAAUAUUUAUUUAUACUAAAAAAAAAAGAAUCAUUAUUAAUGCUACGUUUACAAUAUUUUAACAAUAGAAGCUAUAAACUAGUAAAAAUAGAAGCUUAAACUAUAAACUAUAAACUUAGUAAUAUUUAUAAUUUAUUAUCAAUUUUUAAACACUUGUUUGGACUUUGUAGUGUUACAUUGUUACUUUAGUCCCAUUGAAUACUGAAUAGGUUGAAAGGAUUUAUUUAUUUAUUUAUUAUAAAAAUAAAAAAAUAAAAAAAACAGAAUUUUUAAUGUUUCAAAUCGACUAAACCGAAUAAACCGAGCCAACCAAACCACACCGCUAUAGGUUGGAAAACCGACCCUAAUCAGUAGGAAUCGGUUUUAAUUAUGAGAAAACCAAUCCCUAUUGGUUCAGUAACAAUUUUGAGAAAAAACCGAGCCGAUCAAACUGCGCACACCCCUAGCUAAGGCCAUGGUAGCCUAGGUGGGCACGCAACCAAGGCCGUGGCAUGCCCAUGUGCAUGUUCCCAAAGCCAUGAUAACCCCCCAAGGUAAGCAGCCAUGGCAAAGGCACACAAAGGUCAGGGUAGCCCCAGUGGGUAUGCUGGCCUACCCAAAUAACCUCCAUUGAGAAAAAAAAUCUUCUUCUGGAAAAAAAAACCCUCACUUGGGAAAAUAAACCAUAAGUGGGCAAGCAGCCAAGGCAAAGGCAACCCUUGUGGACACAUUGCCAAGGCCAUUGCAUGCCCACCUGCAUGCAUCCAAAGCCAUGACAAUCCCCAUGGGGAAGCAGCCAUGGCAAAGGCACAGAACCAAAAUCAAUGAAGCACCCACGGGCCAGAGGUAAAAGUCGAGACAACCCUCGUGGGCACAUUGCCAUGGCCAUUACAUGCUGACCUGCCCAAAUAACCUCCUUUGGGAAAAUGACCAAUUUUUAGAGAAAAGCCUUAUUUGUGAAAAUAACCCUCUAAUGUGCAAGCAGUUAAGACCAAGGCAACCACUGUGGGCAUGUUGCCAGGGCCAUGGGCAAGCAGCCAAGGCAAAGGCAACCCUCGUGGACAUGUUGCCAAGGCCAUUACAUGCUGACCUGCCUAAAUAACCUCCUUUUAGAGAAAAGCCUUAUUUGUGAAAAUAACCCUCUAAUGUGCAAGCAGUUAAGACCAAGGCAACCAUUGUGGGUAUGCUGCCAGGGCCAUGGCAAACCCCAUGGCAAAGCAACCAUAGCAAAGGCACGUAGCAAAGAUCAGAGUAGCACCAAUGGGAAAGGCGGCCAUGGCUAAUAAGGCACGCCGCCAAUGCCAAGGCAACUCCCUUAGGCAAGAAGCAAAGGCCAAGGCAUAAUGGCUAGCCCAAAUUACCUCAUUUGAAAAAAAAAAAAACACUUUCUUUUGGGAAAAUAACCCUCCAAUGGACAAGCAGCCAAUGCCAAGCUAGCCUUCAUAGCCAUGUUGCCAAGGCCAUGGCAUGCCCACAUGCAUGUUCCCAAGUCCAUAGUAACCUCCAUGAGGAAGCAGCCAUGGCAAAGCCAUCCAGCCAAGAUCAAGACAACACCGUGGGCAAGGUCGCCACGGCUAAGACACGUAGCCACGACCAUGUUAGCCCUUAUAGGCAAGAAGCAAAGGCUAAGGCAGCCCCCGUGGGCACUCUGCCAAGGACAAGGCAUGUUAGCUUACCCAAAUGAGCUCCUUUAAGGGAGGGGAAAAAAAAAAAAA